CAUCUACUCCCUCCGUCCGAAAAUAUUUGUGGGAGUAAUGGAUGUAUCUAGACCCAAUUUUGUUCUAGAUACACCCAGUUUCAUCCAUUUCUCCGACAAGUAUUUCCGGACGGAGGGAGUACUAA
Molecule: non-coding RNA, 125 nt
Organism: Triticum aestivum (bread wheat)
Lineage: Eukaryota; Viridiplantae; Streptophyta; Magnoliopsida; Poales; Poaceae
Source: Rfam